This 459-nucleotide ribosomal RNA is filed under the name Bacillus licheniformis. RNAcentral's name for it is "bacterial SSU rRNA". It matches the Rfam family "Bacterial small subunit ribosomal RNA", at positions 84 to 527 of the family's 1533-position model. Lineage: Bacteria; Bacillati; Bacillota; Bacilli; Caryophanales; Bacillaceae. The record is from RNAcentral.
CCCUGAUGUCAGCGGCGGACGGGUGAGUAACACGUGGGUAACCUGCCUGUAAGACUGGGAUAACUCCGGGAAACCGGGGCUAAUACCGGAUGCUUGAUUGAACCGCAUGGUUCAAUUAUAAAAGGUGGCUUUUACCUACCACUUACAGAUGGACCCGCGGCGCAUUACCUAGUUGGUGAGGUAACGGCUCACCAAGGCAACAAUGCGUACCCAACCUGAAAGGGUGAUCGGCCACACUGGGACUGAAACACGGCCCAAACUCCUACGGGAGGCAGCAUUAGGGAAUCUUCCGCAAUGGACAAAAGUCUGACGGACCAACGCCCCGUGAGUGAUGAAGGUUUUCGGAUCGUAAAACUCUGUUGUUAGGGAAAAACAAGUACCGUUCGAAUAGGGCGGUACCUUGACGGUACCUAACCAAAAAGCCACGGCUAACUACUUGCCACCACCCGCGGUAAUACU